AAUGAGCUCAAAGACAACUGGAAUACUCGUGGGAAAAGCUUAAUCCAUUACAACAAAACAAGCUUACACACGGCUUUCCCUUUCGGGAAACCCCAAGCACUUGGAACAAACCUUAGGGAUUACCUUACAAGCACACAAAGGACAUUGCUGCCUCCUUUAUUCUAUAAUUACACAUAGGUGGUGGAGUAAUACAAUGGUAGUGGAAAGGUAGUACUAAUUAUGACUUAUUAUUCUCUCAGGGAUGUUCUUAGUAGUGGUCUUCAUGGGAUACUAGGUGAUACCCCACGCGUUGCUGCGGAAAUUUUUAAAUAAAGUUGUAAGAUGAAAAUUUGAAAGUAUAAACUAAGGUGAUUGUUAUGCAACAUUCUUUUGCAAACGACACUAUAUAUGAAAAUAUGUUCAUUUCGUCGAGACAAAAUGGUUGUUAAAUGAUUGAUCUUUCACGUAUUUCUAUUGUUGAAAUUUUGGAGCAUGGUACUCACAAAGAUGUAUGGAUGCUAUAGUCACAGAAAAUCGGUGGAAGAUAUAAAUUGAUGAUCUAGUGGAUGAUGAUGUGGCAUGUGAGGUGGAUGGCUUGCAUGUUGAGAGAAAUAUAGUUAAUGCCUCUUAGUGGGUUCCAUCUAUAUAGUUGUAUAUGAUUGGAUGGUGGAAG
This 652-nucleotide long non-coding RNA is filed under the name Panicum hallii. Its description in RNAcentral is "long non-coding RNA (PHAL_LNC000296)". Lineage: Eukaryota; Viridiplantae; Streptophyta; Magnoliopsida; Poales; Poaceae. The record is from RNAcentral.